RNAcentral lists this ribosomal RNA (253 nucleotides) under uncultured bacterium. RNAcentral describes it as "partial 16S ribosomal RNA". It matches the Rfam family "Bacterial small subunit ribosomal RNA", at positions 524 to 776 of the family's 1533-position model. The record is from RNAcentral.
UACGGAGGGGGCUAGCGUUGUUCGGAAUUACUGGGCGGAAAGCGCACGUAGGCGGCUUUGCAAGUCAGAGGUGAAAGCCCGGGGCUCAACCCCGGAAUUGCCUUUGAGACUGCAUCGCUAGAAUUGUGGAGAGGUAAGUGGAAUUCCGAGUGUAGAGGUGAAAUUCGUAGAUAUUCGGAAGAACACCAGUGGCGAAGGCGGCGCACUGGACUGGUAUUGACGCUGAGGUGCGAAAGCGUGGGGAGCAAACAGG